This is a non-coding RNA of Acanthopagrus latus (yellowfin seabream), 750 nucleotides long. The record is from the annotation of a RefSeq genome assembly. Lineage: Eukaryota; Metazoa; Chordata; Actinopteri; Spariformes; Sparidae.
AACAGUUAGCACCUUUUAUUUGUCAGGGAACAAAGUGAAUCUGCAGUCUGCAGCUGUUGAACAGAACAUAUGUCCUCUGAUGAGGACACAGAAGACAAGUUGUACUCUGACAGCAGAGUGGCAGUAACAUGUGUAGAGUGUAAAGUUGUCAGUAGGGAGUAACACAGGGCUGUGAAUGAGCCCUGUCACUGUGAUCAGGCUCCUCCUUCUAAUCCACCAACUGAGUGUUGAUGAAGACUGAACACAGAGAUCACAGCCUUCUUUACACUUGCUGGAGCUCACACUUACUCAACACUGCACAUAUGAUGCAGCCUCUGUUCAUCUCAGGGCUGCUGGCUGUUAUGUGUCUCGGAUGCAGAGCACAACAAGACAACGUGCUGCAGCCAGAAGGAGAUGUGACUGCUGCUGAAGGAGAGGCAGUAACACUCGGCUGUCAAUAUAACAGCAGUUCAUCAAGUCCAUCUCUCUUCUGGUACAAACAGGAUGGAGACAACAGCCCCAAAUUCAUCCUGAGCCGCUUUACGAUUGGUACAGGGAACACAGAGGACGAAUAUAAGGAGAGAUUUUCAUCCACACUGAAUCCAACCUUAAGAUCAGUUCCUCUGAAGAUCCAGAAGCUUCAGCUGUCUGACUCUGCUGUGUACUACUGUGCUCUGCAGCCCACAGUGACAGGAAACACCAAAACUCUGUACAAAAACCUUUGGAGCAAAGACAACACAAUACUCCACAACAUCCACUAGAGGGAGUCAC